This 73-nucleotide transfer RNA is filed under the name Fukomys damarensis (Damara mole-rat). It matches the Rfam family "tRNA". From Rfam's summary of the family: Transfer RNA (tRNA) molecules are approximately 80 nucleotides in length. Their secondary structure includes four short double-helical elements and three loops (D, anti-codon, and T loops). Further hydrogen bonds mediate the characteristic L-shaped molecular structure. tRNAs have two regions of fundamental functional importance: the anti-codon, which is responsible for specific mRNA codon recognition, and the 3' end, to which the tRNAs corresponding amino acid is attached (by aminoacyl-tRNA synthetases). tRNAs cope with the degeneracy of the genetic code in two manners: having more than one tRNA (with a specific anti-codon) for a particular amino acid; and 'wobble' base-pairing, i.e. permitting non-standard base-pairing at the 3rd anti-codon position. The record is from Rfam by way of RNAcentral. Lineage: Eukaryota; Metazoa; Chordata; Mammalia; Rodentia; Bathyergidae.
GGGGAUUUAGCUCAGUGGUGCUGCUGCCUGCCUCGCAAGCAGAAGGUCCCGAGUUCGAUCCCUGGAACCCCCC